Molecule: long non-coding RNA, 861 nt
Filed under: Oryzias javanicus (javanese ricefish)
Lineage: Eukaryota; Metazoa; Chordata; Actinopteri; Beloniformes; Adrianichthyidae
Description: lncRNA (ENSOJAG00000010007.1)
Source: RNAcentral
CGUACAAUACAAUGCGGCAAGCUAGGCUAACAGGAAAAACAAAAUAAAAACACGCUAAUAAAAAGUAAAUGUUCUCUUUUUUUAAUGUUUUUUACAGGUCAAGAAUCUCAGGACUGGACCUGGUUUGUUCUUCCAGCAGCAAUUUGCCUCUCUGGUAUCAUAAUUAUCAACCUGGUGCUCCACUUGCUGCUAACAGUUUACCAAAGGAGGAAAAAGGAAAGACAACUGAAGCAAACAGAUUCAACUCUCGACUCGGUGGCCUGCACAACGCAGACUCAACACGUUCUCAGGGGGAGCCUCUUCCUAACGGUUCCCCCCCAAUGCAGAAGCAAGGAGAAGGUCAACUUGAUUUCCAAGUAACCGCAGAAUGGAUAACAUUAUGAAAAGGUGUUACAUAAAGAAAUAAGUUCUCUUUGCAGCCAUUUUUUUUCCCGUUGUUCAGACAAGCAUUUCAAAUGUUAGAGGCCUUGCUAGAUGUUAGUUUGAAUGCUGGGUUUGUGCUGUAGUUCACUAAAGAGCUAUGUAGACAUAUAUAAAUAUAUAUAUUCAGUGGUCCUUCCCUAUGACGUGGUUUACCUUUGGUGACUGAUGUUUUGCAGAAUUUUUAGUGCAGUUUUCCAUCCUUUUUAUUUAUUUAUGUUUUUUUACAGCGCACUAUUUUCUGAUUGGCUGUUGACCUUGUCAAUCAACCUUCUCUGUGCCAUGUCUCCUGUGCAGAAUGCUUUCAGUUUGGCAAAAUCACAUAAAUCGCGGGCAGAUCUUUGUUUUCCUUCUAUGAAACGAGACGUAUUUUUCUAUGAAGGUUUGUACUUUGAGAGUUUAAAUGAGGAAAAAAGUGCUAAAAUGUUCAUGUAUAAGAAA